Molecule: transfer RNA, 73 nt
Filed under: Ixodes scapularis (black-legged tick)
Lineage: Eukaryota; Metazoa; Arthropoda; Arachnida; Ixodida; Ixodidae
Description: tRNA-Glu for anticodon CUC
Source: RNAcentral
GCCCGGCUAGUUCAGCCCGUAGAGCGUGAGACUCUCAACCUCAGGGUCGUUGGUUCGGGCCCCACAUUGGGCG